RNAcentral lists this long non-coding RNA (3154 nucleotides) under Triticum aestivum (bread wheat). Its description in RNAcentral is "long non-coding RNA (TAES_LNC008438)". The record is from RNAcentral. Lineage: Eukaryota; Viridiplantae; Streptophyta; Magnoliopsida; Poales; Poaceae.
UGUUUUUUUUUGUUUCCAAGGAGGCACGGCCAUGCCUCACGCGGAAGCAAAACUGUGCCUCUCGCGAAAGAAAAAAAUAUUUUUUUUUCGUUUCCGAGAGGCACGGGCGUGCCUGUCACGAAAGCACAACCGUGUCUCUCGCGAAAGCAAACCCGUGCCUCUCACGGAAGUGAAAAAACAGAAAACGCAUUUAUUUUCGUUUUCCGAGAGGCACAACCAUAACUCUCGCGAAAAUACAACCGUGCCUCUCGCGGAAGGAAAAAAAAUAGAAAACACGUCUUUUUCGUUUCUGAGGGGCACGGCCGUGAUUCUCGCGAAAGCAAAACCGUGUCUCUCGUGAAAGAAAAUAAAAGAAAACACGUUUUUUCGAGCAUUUUUUUUCAAUUUUUUAUCCAAAAUCUAAGGAAGACCGAUGAAAAGCCGAAGCGUAAAAAAAAAACCCGUUUAAAAAGCCGAAAACACAUGCGAAAAAAAAAACAAAAUACGAAGGGAGAGCCUAGAGCGCGACACCUGUGGGGCGGCUGAGAACGCACCAGGUGGCGCUGAUCGUUACGAGGCUCCCGAAGGAGCGCUCGUCAACUAGUUGUUCAACCUUUCCAUCGGAUUGGAACGCUCGUAUUCCUGCAGAUCGAACGGAUAAAAAAAUCCAGCGAUUCCAUAGCGAUGCGUUUCCUAUGGGUUUUCCUUUGAUUUCCCUACGUACCGAACAUGGCCUGAUUCUGUUCCACCGCCUGGGCAAAAUAGAGAAAUAAAUAUACGUUGGCCAUUCAGCUGAAGAAUAUGAGUCUCUGCAAGGCAAAGUUAGCGUCACGAAAGGAAUAGAAGCAACAUUUCCUGGGUGUGUCACCUGAGUUAUUCCUUUCUUCCCUCGGAACGACGAAGGUUAGCACCGGUUCUUGCGUUCCGGACGGGCAGUAGGUCUGGAUCAUAUAUAAGAGACAACAAUGUCGCCAUGCAUCCCAUUCCUGCACUCACAACAUAAACACCAUCCUCACGGACCCAUUCGAUCCAAGGGGCGGCUGCUAGCUAGCUGCAAUCUUCAGCACAACUGCAAGGUAUGCAUGCAUGGUGUUCCCUGAAACAUUUCAGCAGAAAUCGUAGGCAGACAUUGACAGACAUCAUGUAGUUCGAGCAGAUACAGGAUGCAAGGAAUCGCCAAGGCGCUGAGCCAGCACGGGAAGCAGCUGAGGCUCGCCGUGCUGCAGCACAUGAACAAGGGGAUCUUCUCCUGGGCCACCCUCAUCUCGCGCAUACAGAGCGAGUCCCCGGCCGUGAUCAUCCCCCACAUGGGGCUGGAGAACAUCACCGUCCGGGAAAUCCUCAGGGCCAAAGGGGAGGCCCAGUCCAGGGCGGUCUACUGGUGCAGCACCACCCAUUUGGUGCAUGAAGCCGUCAAGCACGUGAGAGUUUUGCUGACUGCUUUCAUCUUACUUCUGAAUACAAUGCUACUUCUGAAUGACUGAAUGUCGAUCGUGCUUAAUUCAAUCUGUAGAUGACGGCCAAUAAUGUGGGAUCUCUAGUCGUGCUCAAGUCGGGGGACGACAAGCAGCUGGCAGGGAUUGUAACUGAAAGAGGUAAACCACAAAUCAGCAGCCAAUUCAAAGGAUUCUUAGAAAGAAAGAAGAAAAAAUCAGUUACAAUUUAUCCCCAUCUGAUACAGAUUUCGCUAGGAAGAUCCUCUUACCCGGGCGACCCUCGGAGGAAACAAGAGUUGAAGAUAUCAUGACAGAAGAGGUGAAUGGGCUUAAAAAUGAAAAUCACUGCAACAGACUGAAUAUCAUUGCACAUUUCUUUAGUCCUCAUAAUUUUCUUUACUCUGUUACAGAACAAGCUAAUCACUGUAUCCAGCAAUACCAAUAUUCUGCGUGCGAUGGAGCUAAUGACAGGUAAUGGAACAUUCAAUCGGUAAAGCAUUUCACUAUUUACGGUCCUAUCAUACGCGCACGCUACAAGGAACUGUAGCAAUUUUGGAAUUUUUUAAAUUACUAAUUUGGUUUUGUUUUCUUAUUUUUCUGGAUCAACAGACGAGCACAUUCGACACGUCCCAGUUUUCGACGAGAAGGUGGUUGGUAUGAUCUCCAUUGGCGAUGUGGUCAGAGCAAUCGUGGACCAACAGCACCAAGAAGUGAAACAACUGAAGAAGUACAUCACUGGAGAUUAUUAUUAGCAUGUAGCUCUGGUACAGUCCAUGUAAUUACUCAUAAUAUUAACCAUGAAUUAUAUCUUCCCCGGUAUUGCCAUUUGGAGUGAGUAACUACUGUCUUUACACUUGCACUUUUACAACACUGAGCUUUGUGUUUUCUCUUGGGCUGUGAAAUGUGUUUUUUUAUAAAAGUUUACAGCCAUAUCAUAAAAAGAGUCAAAUCUGUACAUGGUACAAAAUUCCUACCUGAGCAAUUUCAACCCUCGGUUUCAUCCAGGGAAAACAAGUCACGACUAUCUAAAACAAGUCAACGAUUUUGUAUAUCAGUGAUGAAGGAAAACCCUAGGGAGAAUUCUUUGUUUCCAAAGGGAAAUACAUGCAUAAUAGUUGAGAUAAAUCUUAUGGUACAAGAAAAAAAAAUCAAUGAUUUUGUUGGCAAUUUUGUAUCUCAGUGAUGAAAGAAACCAGGAAAAUUCUUCAUUUUCAGAUGGAAAUACAUAUAUAGUAGCUCAGAUAAAACUUAUGGUACAAUAAAACAGGGUACCCACAAGACAGCAUUAGCACACAACAACAUAGCAGCUUAUUGCAGGUUAAUACCUCCAUAACAACUCAGAAUCUGUAUAACAUACAUUGCCUCAAACUCUCUUAAUAGGUAAUAAGGGGUCAUGAACCUCGCCGCAGAUAGUUUCGCUCACUCCUUAGUACAACUUCGCUGUUACUGCUUGCGAUCACUCCUUAGUACAGCUUACUGUUUGCUAGAAACACACCGCCAUUUCGCACAUGUAAGUGCACAGCUAUCUCAUUUUGCAGGAGAACAUCACACAGCUAUUGCUAAAUCUCAGGGACAUGUUGAUAAAGUAACACCAGGAGUAACCCAUCUGAAGGAGGGUACAACUCUGUGCCGCAAAUACCUAAGGCGCAGGGUAGUACUGGUUAAGAGAUCUACUAAUUGCCCUGAUGGUGUUUGGAGUUGUCCUGCAGCAACCCCCAAUAAGGGCAGCCCCAUCUUUG